Molecule: ribosomal RNA, 253 nt
Filed under: uncultured bacterium
Lineage: Bacteria
Description: partial 16S ribosomal RNA
Rfam family: Bacterial small subunit ribosomal RNA
Source: RNAcentral
UACGUAGGGUGCGAGCGUUGUCCGGAAUUACUGGGCGUAAAGAGCUCGUAGGCGGCUUGUCGCGUUGUUCGUGAAAAUUUACCGCUCAACGGUGAACUUGCGGGCGAUACGGGCAGGCUAGAGUACUGCAGGGGAGACUGGAAUUCCUGGUGUAGCGGUGAAAUGCGCAGAUAUCAGGAAGAACACCGGUGGCGAAGGCGGGUCUCUGGGCAGUAACUGACGCUGAGGAGCGAAAGCGUGGGGAGCAAACAGG